CGAACAAAAAAUCGGACGACGCCCUAGCUCCCUCCGCCCGCGGGUCGCCCGCUCCCUCGCGCCCCUGUUGCUCCCUCCUCGAUCCCGAUCUGGAUCGAGGGGACGAGGAGCUCCUGCCUCCCCGACGGCCGACCUCCUCCUCGCCCCGCCGCUGCGUCCGGCGCCGCCACGGUCUCUGGAGCCAGGGAAGCCAUGGCCUGAGCUCGGCCUCGAGGUCCCCGCCGCCGUCUCCUGCAGCUUCUGCCCCGCCGCCUCACCGCCCGAGCUCGCCGUCGCACCAACCUCGGCGCCGCGCCGCCGCCGGCUCUGGUCGCCUCCACCUCCGCGCCGUGAGGAACCCGCCACACGCGUCAAGGCGAGGCGCCUCCUGGGCUCCGUCCGUUUCCAGAGCGAGCGCCCGCGAAUACCUAGCUAGCCGCCGCCGUCGUGACCGUUCCAGCCACCGCCAAGGCCACACUUCCUCUUCCACCUCCGCGUACUCCUGGUUGCAGCCCCAGCUCUUCACGGGCAGGGAGAGAAGGGGGGCAUGAUCGGCGGGGCAGAGUUCUUUCGGAAGGACAGCGUGGUGGGCAACAUGGACGGAUACCUCAGCUACCUGUCCCUCGAGUAUGACUUCGUCUCGGACACCAAUCCUGCUUGGGUAUCUUCAUUUUGGAAGCAGGAGUCCUUUCCUCAUAAGAUGGAUGAGCUGUAGGAUUUGAUUCUGUUCAGCUUGAAUUAGUUUUUCAUCAUCAUGUUCUUUGUAUUAGGAAUUCAUGCCUUCCAGCUCUAAUUUUUUCGCAUUGUUAGUGUAUGCUGGGAGUCACAUUAUUAUGCUGCUAGCAAACAGUAGGAUUGGAAGUCUUACUCUGUAGAUUGGUUCCCAUUGUUACAGUGAAGUAGCUACCAAGCAGCGAGGCCAUCGAGUGACACGAGACCGCGGGACGGCGUGAGAAGAAGCAGGGGGUGUCUGGCGGGAUGGAGAAGACCACAGGGAAGUGUGGCGAUGGAGUGCAAUCCCGAAGAAGAAGAACAUUGCAAAGAAAGACCCUGGCCAAGUGCCACCCAAUUCUCUUUCACCGACCCAUCUAAUGGCCAUCAAUUCAAUUGGUCCAAGCUGUUGUGUUGACCUUCCCAUUGAUCCACUACAUCCUCGCUCAGCUGGUUCUGCUAUGUUUCUUCUCCAUGGCAUUGCUGGUUGCCGGCGUGCCUGACAUCGCGCCUUAUGUGACGUGACAUGAUGCUCCUCUACGUGUUCUUCUCACCCCGGUUUCCAUGAGGAGAGAUGUUGUUCUGUGGUUCUGUAGUUCUACUCCAUAGCAAUGAUGGAGUCACCUCCAUAUGGAUAGCAAUUAUCUCGGGAUCAUGAGAGCUGUCUACGCAACGGCCAGGGGGCAUAUGCUUCUCCUAGCACUAAGACCUCCAUCCUAUUUGAGCCAGAAUGGCUUUGGUGCCCUCUCUCGCUCAUGGUGAGGCCGUGCAUGCUUGCCAUGUUGUGGCUACGAAAUCUCAGACUGAGUCGCUUCGGUCGGGCACUAUUCAGGGGAAUAUUUGUUCAGAAUCUUCAGUCUUGUAAUUUUCUCCUUGAUGACAAUGACCAUGCUGUGCUGGGGGAUUUGGGAUUCCAUCCUUGCUGUUUGGACUUCCGCUGCCAAAUCCAGAUCUUAUCCAAAGACUUGGGACUCCAAAUUACAUGCCCCAGAACAUUGGCGACCAAACAUCAGAGGCCCAAUUAGUUACGAGACUGACUCGUUGGGGUUUCGCUUGGAGCAUUCUUGAGAUGUUCAGUGGCGUUCAGACUUGGUGUGCCAAAUCACCAGAUGAGAUUUAUCAGUCAGUUGUCCUGAAGAAAGAGAAACCGAUGUUCCUGUACAAUUUACCUACGGAGGUCGCUAAUGUCCUCUCUGGCUGCUAUGAGUAUGAAUUUCGGGAUCACUCCUUGAUGUUAGAUAUCUUACAGUCAUUUGAAAUGUAACAUGCUAAAACUCUGUUUCUGCUUCUGCCUUGUUAACUUACAUAAUUUGGUUAAACUGCCAUGGAUGGGUGAUUUUACCAUAUUUCAUUUUCAUAUUUGCUUAUAUUAUAUUGUACAAACUACUAAGCAUUAUUGAAGUUUGUCACAUGAAAGCAUGGAACUGCUUUCUUAGCUGUGUCGUUUAUAGUCAUAUAUGGUCAAUGCAGGUUUAUUUUCCUCCAGAGUUUACUUUUACUAUGUCCUGGUACUGGUUUUCUCUGCAGGUUUCUCUACAUUAGCUUUGUGUAUUCAAUUUUUUUGUUCCUGACAAGAAGUGCAUUGCACAUGCACACUUAUAUGAACAAGCCUUACAUGAUUUGCUCUUUUACUGAUGGACUGAGGAGGUCAGAGAUGUAUAACAGCCGUAUUGAUCCAAAUGACAAGUACGGCAGUGCUAACCUGCUUACCUAGAAUUUUACCACAUCCUAAGACUUGCAAAUCUGUAUAAUAGGAAUGGCUAGCUGUUUUCUGGUCUACAACCGUGACAUCUGGUGGCAUCUCUCACCAUGUCUUCACAUAGUGUUUAGUCAUGAUUCUUGCAUACUGUCGAGACUCGAGAAGGGCGUGACAUUUUUUCCUGAACUGAUUUCUAAUUUUUUUUUGCUUACCGGUUGAGCUCGGUUUCAACUCUUACCUGAGUAGUUGAUAGGAAAGCCUGAUGCAGGUGUAUGGAAAUUAUGCAAUUCCAUGAGGUUUGGAGUUGUCCAGUAUACUACUGAGGCCUACAUAUUUUGCUGAUGCAGGUUGGAGGUGACACAUGAACGCUGGCAACGCAAAAUAGCAGAUAUAAAAUAACUGCAGCUCAGGCCAUGUAGUUCUACAACAACCAAGGAAGAAGUCCGUUUUUUAAGCCGACCUUGGCCAAGCAUUUAAGCUUAUAUGGUUGCUCUCUAUUUUUCAGAGGUGCGUGUACUGAGGACGCCCAUGAUUUAGGGCCAAAAAUCUAGACAAAGUGACAAAACUUUGUACGAGACUUACUUGAAGCCAAGGAGGUCAGGGGAGGAGGACAACAAGGCUGGGGAGCGGAGGCGGAGACCGACGGGGAAGAGAAUGAUCAAGCAUGUAAAUCUAGAGCACAAGCUCGUGAUUUAUCAAGGGAGUGGCGCUGCCGCCGGAUUAGAAAAUCAUAUCUCACGUUAAGGUGUUUUUGUCUUUUGUUUCUGUACAAAUUUGGUGCAGGCAAGUUUUUGAUGAUAUAUAUAAGAUGACUAGCAUUAUCUUUUUA
Triticum aestivum (bread wheat) is the source of this 3218-nucleotide long non-coding RNA. RefSeq lists it as uncharacterized. The record is from RefSeq and is a predicted model, not a curated record. The transcript is spliced from 6 exons. Lineage: Eukaryota; Viridiplantae; Streptophyta; Magnoliopsida; Poales; Poaceae.